CGCAGGCUGCCAUCUGUCAGAAAGACCCUUCAGAGACUCUUCUCGUCCUCCUCCUCGUCAGACCAGCCUGAAACUCAGGAGGCCACAGCCCCUCCACUGACCGACACCAUGUCCCCAGAGGAGAUCAAAGCCUGGGAAGAGACGGAGCUGGAUAAACCAAUCGAUAUGGAGCAGAUCCGCAUAGAUCCUUCCCCAUUUCAGCUGGUGGAAAGAACUUCUCUACACAAGGUGACUACCGCAACAGCUGGUCAACACAGUCAUCGCACGAACAGAUCAUGUAC
RNAcentral lists this long non-coding RNA (281 nucleotides) under Myripristis murdjan (pinecone soldierfish). RNAcentral describes it as "lncRNA (ENSMMDG00005011880.1)". The record is from RNAcentral. Lineage: Eukaryota; Metazoa; Chordata; Actinopteri; Holocentriformes; Holocentridae.